This 448-nucleotide ribosomal RNA is filed under the name uncultured bacterium. RNAcentral describes it as "bacterial SSU rRNA". It matches the Rfam family "Bacterial small subunit ribosomal RNA", at positions 335 to 799 of the family's 1533-position model. The record is from RNAcentral.
ACUCCUACGGGAGGCAGCAGUGGGGAAUCUUGGACAAUGGGCGCAAGCCUGAUCCAGCCAUGCCGCGUGAGUGAUGAAGGCCUUAGGGUCGUAAAGCUCUUUCGCCAGGGAUGAUAAUGACAGUACCUGGUAAAGAAACCCCGGCUAACUCCGUGCCAGCAGCCGCGGUAAUACGGAGGGGGUUAGCGUUGUUCGGAAUUACUGGGCGUAAAGCGCGCGUAGGCGGAUCGGAAAGUUGGGGGUGAAAUCCCGGGGCUCAACCCCGGAACUGCCUCCAAAACUAUCGGUCUAGAGUUCGAGAGAGGUGAGUGGAAUUCCGAGUGUAGAGGUGAAAUUCGUAGAUAUUCGGAGGAACACCAGUGGCGAAGGCGGCUCACUGGCUCGAUACUGACGCUGAGGUGCGAAAGUGUGGGGAGCAAACAGGAUUAGAUACCCUGGUAGGAUAGCG